UCCUACGGGACGCAGCAGUGGGGAAUAUUGCACAAUGGGGGAAACCCUGAUGCAGCGACGCCGCGUGAAGGAUGAAGUAUUUCGGUAUGUAAACUUCUAUCAGCAGGGAAGAAAAUGACGGUACCUGACUAAGAAGCCCCGGCUAACUACGUGCCAGCAGCCGCGGUAAUACGUAGGGGGCAAGCGUUAUCCGGAUUUACUGGGUGUAAAGGGAGCGUAAACGGUAUGGCAAGUCUGAUGUGAAAACCCGGGGCUCAACCUCGGGACUGCAUUGGAAACUGUCGGCCUAGAGUGCCGGAGAGGCA
Molecule: ribosomal RNA, 305 nt
Filed under: uncultured bacterium
Lineage: Bacteria
Description: bacterial SSU rRNA
Rfam family: Bacterial small subunit ribosomal RNA
Source: RNAcentral